Molecule: RNA transcript, 1238 nt
Organism: Callorhinchus milii (elephant shark)
Lineage: Eukaryota; Metazoa; Chordata; Chondrichthyes; Chimaeriformes; Callorhinchidae
Gene name: elongation of very long chain fatty acids protein 5
Exons: 5
Source: RefSeq, a predicted model, not a curated record
AUGCACCAGUUUCUUCCGGGAACACGUUGGUGUGCAGUCUCACAGGCCUCCAGGACAGUAUUGGGGGGGAGUUAUUUCAACUGCAAAACCAGGAUAAAAGUCAAAUUUCACCUGGGAGUGAGCUGAGCUGAGCUGAGAGUUCCUGACUUCACUUUCUGUUGUUCUACAAGCUGAGUCGUGGAAAUCCUGGCCAGGUCUGCUCUGGUCUGAGGCGGUUUUUACCCUUGCCUUGUGUCUUCUCCAACGCAUAGCAAAAAGUAUCUUACCAUGGAAGAGUUGCAGAAUGUAAAUGUUAUGUCGCCCACCAGAGGGCACUUUCUCAGCAAGGCCCUGGGUUUGCCGUCUGUUCCAAUGGCGUGUACCUACAUUGGAAUGAUCCUCUUUUCCACCUACUGGCAGAAAUUCACAAAACCUCUGGAGUUGAAGAAGCAUUUCAGUGGUUGUGUGAUUUGACAUCUCAAGCAAGUAUACACAGCAAACUUAGAUAAGUAUCCAUUUGUAAUGAACUUUGCUUUCAGAACAGGAAAGCUCUUCUUGCAAUGUGGAAAAAAAAAACAGGCAAACGAUUUAGCAAUACCCUGUAACAACUCCAUAGCAGAAAAGCUUCCUUGUAAAGUGUGUGGUUGGGCAUUGAGAUGUGUUUUUUUGCCAUUCGUAUGGCAUUAUGAUCUGCUGAGAAUUUAUUGAAGCAUUUGCUGUACAUCUAUCAUCUCGCAAGUCUGUAGCUCGGGACUCGAUUUCGAAAACCUAUAUCCUGCCUCUUAAGGUGGAAGAUACCUGCUCGUCUCUGAGAAAAAUAGUCCAAAAAGCUUCCAACUCAUAUUGAAGGAAGCUAGAUAAUAGGGAAGUGAAGUUCUUAAACACAUUCACAUUUAGUCCUUUAACAAGGAAUAAUUAGAAUUAUUAAUGAAAUAAAUUGCUUUGAAUUUCUAAUUCUGUAAUAGGGAUUCCAUUUUUAAUAAGGUUACGUUGAAUGUAACUUACUGGCUACAGAAGAACCUUACCUUACAUAAAUCUAGCAACAUGGCUAUCUCACCAGUCAGGCCACAUUUUUCAGUCUGUCUUUUCAUUUGAACUUGCUAGGUGAAAAAGACCAAGGUCCACCCAGAUCACCUUCCCCCAUACUGGCAGUCGUUUGACAUGCUGUGUCCCAAAGUGUAUAUUGUAUCCAGGGAUAAUAGUUUCUAAUAGAAAUCUAUCUAAUUUGUUCUUGAAACAAACAACACUUUCCGCUGCCA